CGAACGCUUCCUUCCCGCUGGUGCUGAUCCCUCUUGUUAAGUCUGCUGAUCCGUUGCGUUAUACGAUUAACAAUGCCCUGAAAAGAGACAGGUGGAGCGUUAACACAUCUUGUUGAGGACAAGUGGCUGUGACGUGAAGUUUGUGGACAUGUGGUGACCUGGUGGAUCAUACGCUGUUUCAGAAGGAAGACAGGAAAGAAGACUUGUAUAUUUAAGGAGACUUUGACACGCCCCGAAUACCUAGAAGUACAAAUCGUGCUGAAGACAAGUAACGGUGCAUGGGCGUGAGGUGCUAGAGUGAAUAGAGAGUGAUGCAAGGCUGAGAGUGGAGUGCUGGUGUGCCUCUAGCAAGACACCCAGGCACACAUGAGGUCACCGGGGUAGGGAAGAUAUGGCCCGUGAUAAUGGCUGCUCGUCUGGUUGUUGAGGUCUCCCAGUGUUCCCUCAGCGUGGCACUGUGAUAGCCUGACCAAGUGGCCUCGUCCAUAGUCAUUGCCAGGCAUCACCUCCCCUGCAUCUGUGUUCAUCCUGUAGACACAGAAGGAGGUCUGGUGUGGAUUUCUCACCACCGCCGCCGCCACCACCACCAUCGCCGCCGCUGCCGCCACCACCACCACCGCCACGCCGCCUCCACAGCACAGUAAGUGGAUGUUUUGUGUUGCCGCCACGCCGCCGCCGCCGCCGCCGCCGACAUCUCUGCCUCCGCCGCUAGUGCCGCCGAAGUCUUCUGGAUUAACGUGUGCGCUUGAUGCUAGCCAUGUAGAAGGGCGGCGCCGAGGCUGCACCGUCCCGCCCCCUGUGCCUCGCCAUGGACCCCACGCACUAUGAUGAGCUGAGACACGACACGUUCUCUAUUUACGUGCUUCCAUAAAUGCUGGUGGACUUACGACAAUGGGAAACGGGAAGUCGAGUUCUGUUCGGCUGUUGCUAUUAUGAACAUGCUGAGUGUCUCAAUUUGUUACCGCGGGCUGAGGGAGAGAGCAAGAGAAUUACACUGCCGAGACAUAGUUAUCAUUUAGGAUUUAUUAUUAUUCUUAUUAGGUGUGUGUUCUUCAUGAUCUUUUAUUAUUAUUAUUAUUAUUAUUAUUAUUAUUAUU
Long non-coding RNA from Scylla paramamosain (green mud crab), 1097 nucleotides. RefSeq lists it as uncharacterized. The transcript has 5 exons. The record is from RefSeq and is a predicted model, not a curated record. Lineage: Eukaryota; Metazoa; Arthropoda; Malacostraca; Decapoda; Portunidae.